RNAcentral lists this ribosomal RNA (264 nucleotides) under uncultured archaeon. RNAcentral describes it as "partial 16S ribosomal RNA". It matches the Rfam family "Archaeal small subunit ribosomal RNA", at positions 719 to 982 of the family's 1478-position model. The record is from RNAcentral.
ACAGUCACACAUUAGAUACCCGCGUAGUCCCAGCCGUAAACGAUGCGCGUUAGGUGUAUCGAUGACCACGUGUCACUGAGGUGCCGAAGGGAAACCGUGAAACGCACCGCCUGGGGAGUACGGUCGCAAGGCUGAAACUUAAAGGAAUUGGCGGGGAGCACCACAACGGGUGGAGCCUGCGGUUUAAUCGGACUCAACGCCGGGAAUCUCACCGGAUAAGACAGCUGAAUGAUAGUCGGGAUGAAGACUCUACUUGACUAGCUG